AUGCCGAACCCUAGAGAGGUUGACAGAGCUCUUUUUGUUGAAAAUAUUAAAUUGAGAAAGUGUGGGGUUAGUGUCAAAUUUUCUCCUUGGUCUGAAGAUAUUGAUUCUGAGGGACUGUUAGAGAUUGCCUGGGUUAAGAUUGGAAAAAUUCCACCCAACAAAAGAUGCGAUAAAACUGUAGCUUAUGUGGGAGGGCUAGUUGGGAUUACCCUGGAAGUUGAUAUGUCAACUAUAAAUCGGCCAUCUUCUGUCAGAGCUAAAAUCGGCUGUAGAUCGAUAGCUCAACUUCCUGCUACCGCUGAAGGGGUGCUUGCAUGA
RNAcentral lists this ribosomal RNA (318 nucleotides) under Triticum aestivum (bread wheat). RNAcentral describes it as "partial small subunit ribosomal RNA". Lineage: Eukaryota; Viridiplantae; Streptophyta; Magnoliopsida; Poales; Poaceae. The record is from RNAcentral.